AACCUCCCGCAGUUUCUACGCCAGCAAA
RNAcentral lists this small RNA (28 nucleotides) under Bombyx mori (domestic silkworm). RNAcentral's name for it is "ovarian small RNA-10358". Lineage: Eukaryota; Metazoa; Arthropoda; Insecta; Lepidoptera; Bombycidae. The record is from RNAcentral.